This 24-nucleotide non-coding RNA is filed under the name Cricetulus griseus (Chinese hamster). The record is from RNAcentral. Lineage: Eukaryota; Metazoa; Chordata; Mammalia; Rodentia; Cricetidae.
GGGAUAUAGGACAGGUGUGUAAGG